RNAcentral lists this ribosomal RNA (237 nucleotides) under uncultured bacterium. Its description in RNAcentral is "partial 16S ribosomal RNA". It matches the Rfam family "Bacterial small subunit ribosomal RNA", at positions 81 to 334 of the family's 1533-position model. The record is from RNAcentral.
CAAUCCAUGAGUAAGUGGCGACCGGGUGAGUAACACGUGACUACCUACCCUUGAGUGGGGAUAACCUCGGGAAACCGAGGCUAAUACCGCAUAAUAUCGAAAGAUCAAAGGAGUAAUCCGCUUUUGGAGGGGGUCGCGGCUGAUUAGCUAGUUGGUAGGGUAAUGGCCUACCAAGGCGAAGAUCGGUAUCCGGCCUGAGAGGGCGCACGGACACACUGGAACUGAAACACGGUCCAG